RNAcentral lists this long non-coding RNA (224 nucleotides) under Musa acuminata (dwarf banana). RNAcentral describes it as "long non-coding RNA (MACU_LNC010709)". The record is from RNAcentral. Lineage: Eukaryota; Viridiplantae; Streptophyta; Magnoliopsida; Zingiberales; Musaceae.
GAAAAUUUUAAUAUCAUGGAUAUUUUGAGGGGCGUGACAGAGGUGGUAUCAGAGCAUGGUUUGAGGAUUACUGAAAUAUUUGAUAUGUUGACGUGCAAAAUAUAUUGAGGUCUAGUGAAGUACAGUGAUUGGUGAAAAUUUUCUUUGAUGCAUUUUAGGAAUCAAGGAUGAUGAGGUAAUUUGGUCCGUCUAUUUUAAUUGUUUCUGAUUAAUUAAGUGGGAUG